RNAcentral lists this ribosomal RNA (497 nucleotides) under uncultured bacterium. RNAcentral describes it as "partial 16S ribosomal RNA". It matches the Rfam family "Bacterial small subunit ribosomal RNA", at positions 28 to 507 of the family's 1533-position model. The record is from RNAcentral.
GAUGGACGCUGGCGGCGUGCCUAAUACAUGCAAGUCGAGCGAACGGACGAGAAGCUUGCUUCUCUGAUGUUAGCGGCGGACGGGUGAGUAACACGUGGAUAACCUACUUAUAAGACUGGGAUAACUUCGGGAAACCGGAGCUAAUACCGGAUAAUAUUUUGAACCGCAUGGUUCAAUAGUGAAAGACGGUCUUUCUGUCACUUAUAGAUGGAUCCGCGCUGCAUUAGCUAGUUGGUAAGGUAACGGCUUACCAAGGCAACGAUGCAUAGCCGACCUGAGAGGGUGAUCGGCCACACUGGAACUGAGACACGGUCCAGACUCCUACGGGAGGCAGCAGUAGGGAAUCUUCCGCAAUGGGCGAAAGCCUGACGGAGCAACGCCGCGUGAGUGAUGAAAGUCUUCGGAUCGUAAAACUCUGUUAUUAGGGAAGAACAGAUGUGUAAGUAACUGUGCACAUCGUGACGGUACCUAAUCAGAAAGCCACGGCUAACUACGUG